This 340-nucleotide ribosomal RNA is filed under the name uncultured bacterium. RNAcentral's name for it is "SSU rRNA". It matches the Rfam family "Bacterial small subunit ribosomal RNA", at positions 26 to 376 of the family's 1533-position model. The record is from RNAcentral.
AGGAUGAAUGCUGGCGGCGUGCCUAACACAUGCAAGUCGAACGGUAACAGAGAUAAUUUAUUAUUUGCUGACGAGUGGCGGACGGCUGAGUAACGCGUGGGAACAUACCCCAAAGUGAGGGAUAAGCUCCAGAAAUGGAGUCUAAUACCGCAUAUGGUCUUCGGAUUAAAGGAUUUAUCCGCUUUGGGAAUGGCCUGCGUACGAUUAGAUAGUUGGUGAGGUAAUGGCUUACCAAGUCUACGAUCGUUAGCUGGUCUGAGAGGAUGACCAGCCAGACUGGAACUGAGACACGGUCCAGACUCCUACGGGAGGCAGCAGUGAGGAAUCUUCCACAAUGGGC